GCGGGAGUGGCGCAAUUCGGUAGCGCAUCGGCCUUCCAAGCCGUGGGUUGCGGGUUCAAAUCCCGUCUCCCGCUUCA
RNAcentral lists this transfer RNA (77 nucleotides) under Chloroflexota bacterium. RNAcentral's name for it is "tRNA-Gly". It matches the Rfam family "tRNA". Rfam says of the family: Transfer RNA (tRNA) molecules are approximately 80 nucleotides in length. Their secondary structure includes four short double-helical elements and three loops (D, anti-codon, and T loops). The record is from RNAcentral. Lineage: Bacteria; Bacillati; Chloroflexota.